UUUUUUUUUUACAGGGAGGCUGAGCCAAUGCAAUACACACAGGGCUACAGUUUGUGGAGUAAUUUGGUGGGAGAGUUUGUGGCUUUUAUUGCAAACUCAGAACAGCCUUUUUUUUUUUAAGCAUUUCACAACUACUUCAACACAUACAAUGUUGUCUCUUAACCUCCAGAUAUUUCCUGCUUUAAAUGCUGCAUGUUAUCUUCCCCCUUCUACUUCCUCCUCAUGCUGGUGGCUUAUUAGUGAUCACACACAUGCUGUCCGCUUCACACAAACACUCAUCAGCGCCUGAUGCAUACGUGCCCCGGAGAGCACACAUCCCCAUGGAAGCGACACCGGCCAACACGAGGAGACCUGCAGAUCCAACAAGCGCUGAAGCGAGGAACCCAAAGGUCUAUUCACACAUCUGCCAGCCCCUCUCUCUGAUCUAGACUCUUCUCUUAGAGUAUUUGACAGACUGUGGUUGACACUCGAUUUAAGGGGGUGUCAGUUUGUCAAAUACCCCAAGAGAGGGGGCACGAGUCUUCAAAGUUCAGCGACACCUCGUUUGCCUCAGGCAAGCUUUGUACACCCUCAUGUUCAACCGUUUGCAGCAGAGCAUGUGUAAGAUUAGCUAAUAAUGCUUGUUCAAAAUGUCUUCAGAAUGUCAGAUAAGCAGAACCACGGGAUGUCUUCAGUAUAAUCUAAUCAUUUAUAGUGUGCAUAUGUGUAUAUUGCUGCAAUCUCUCUGGAUGGAUGAACAGGUAGAUUGGAAAAAUAGAUGGAAAAAAAAUGCCAGAAAAGUAGCAUUAAUCCGUGCAGUGCCGUCUGUAUCAGUUUUGUUACACUAAAUGUUAUAAUAUAUAUGUUAUAAUAAAGUACUCUUAAAUACAGGUACUUAAUAUUAUUUAGAUAACAAGUGUUUAGCAUGCUAAGCAUACUAAAAGCUGUUGAUGACAGUUUGAGUGCACAAGUUUCUUGCUACAAAAAAUAAUUGUGAAAUUUGUUUCAUUGUCUUUGUCUGUUGCAAUGCAUGUGGGAGUGUGAAUACAUGUAAAUGAUAUCUUAACAUGUUUUGUUUACAUUUAUUAUUUCAAUUCAAUGUACAGUGGUUGGUUAUUAGAACAUCAAGCAAUCAUUACAAAUGAAAAUGUAUCUUUCAGAAAUGAAAUUUUUAUCAGGUUAAUAAGAAAAGCACAUUUGCAUUUCCAGAAAGAAUUACCAAGGCUAGCAAGGUUGCAAAAGAAUGAUGUUCUAGUUUUUGUUAAGCUUAAGUUUUAGCAUUUGGUCCUGCAUCAAUACAAUUUUGCAUUUCAGUCAGCAUUAUCAUAACA
Molecule: long non-coding RNA, 1310 nt
Organism: Carassius auratus (goldfish)
Lineage: Eukaryota; Metazoa; Chordata; Actinopteri; Cypriniformes; Cyprinidae
Exons: 2
Source: RefSeq, a predicted model, not a curated record